CAGGGUCUCACUGUAUCGCCCA
This 22-nucleotide microRNA is filed under the name Callithrix jacchus (white-tufted-ear marmoset). Its description in RNAcentral is "cja-miR-4512". Lineage: Eukaryota; Metazoa; Chordata; Mammalia; Primates; Cebidae. The record is from miRBase by way of RNAcentral.